CGAGCGAACAGAUGAGGAGCUUGCUCCUUUGACGUUAGCGGCGGACGGGUGAGUAACACGUGGGUAACCUACCUAUAAGACUGGAAUAACUCCGGGAAACCGGGGCUAAUGCCGGAUAACAUUUAGAACCGCAUGGUUCUAAAGUGAAAGAUGGUUUUGCUAUCACUUAUAGAUGGACCCGCGCCGUAUUAGCUAGUUGGUAAGGUAACGGCUUACCAAGGCAACGAUACGUAGCCGACCUGAGAGGGUGAUCGGCCACACUGGAACUGAGACACGGUCCAGACUCCUACGGGAGGCAGCAGUAGGGAAUCUUCCGCAAUGGGCGAAAGCCUGACGGAGCAACGCCGCGUGAGUGAUGAAGGUCUUCGGAUCGUAAAACUCUGUUAUUAGGGAAGAACAAAUGUGUAAGUAACUAUGCACGUCUUGACGGUACCUAAUCAGAAAGCCACGGCUAACUACGUGCCAGCAGCCGCGGUAAUACGUAGGUGGCAAGCGUUAUCCGGAAUUAUUGGGCGUAAAGCGCGCGUAGGCGGUUUCUUAAGUCUGAUGUGAAAGCCCACGGCUCAACCGUGGAGGGUCAUUGGAAACUGGGAAACUUGAGUGCAGAAGAGGAAAGUGGAAUUCCAUGUGUAGCGGUGAAAUGCGCAGAGAUAUGGAGGAACACCAGUGGCGAAGGCGACUUUCUGGUCUGUAACUGACGCUGAUGUGCGAAAGCGUGGGGAUCAAACAGGAUUAGAUACCCUGGUAGUCCACGCCGUAAACGAUGAGUGCUAAGUGUUAGGGGGUUUCCGCCCCUUAGUGCUGCAGCUAACGCAUUAAGCACUCCGCCUGGGGAGUACGACCGCAAGGUUGAAACUCAAAGGAAUUGACGGGGACCCGCACAAGCGGUGGAAGCAUGUGGUUUAAUUCGAAGCCACGCGAAGAACCUUACUACAUCUUGACAUCCUUUGACAACUCUAGAGAUAGAUCCUUCCCCUUCGGGGGACAAAGUGACAGGUGGUG
RNAcentral lists this ribosomal RNA (1002 nucleotides) under Staphylococcus sp. A2.13. RNAcentral's name for it is "bacterial SSU rRNA". It matches the Rfam family "Bacterial small subunit ribosomal RNA", at positions 63 to 1043 of the family's 1533-position model. Lineage: Bacteria; Bacillati; Bacillota; Bacilli; Caryophanales; Staphylococcaceae. The record is from RNAcentral.